CGGGCUGAGGACGGGGCUGUGAGGAGCGGGUGGUCUCCGCCGCGGUACGGCCAGAGGAGAGGGGCGGGAGGGGUUGUCAGAGUGCAGGUAUCCUUCCGCUGCUGCCACACGCGCUCACGUGACGCGGCCCCCUCCCCGGCUCCCUCCGGCGCUGCUGCCGGCGACCCUCACCCGGGCCGGGGCUUCUCCUGACCCAUCCUCAGCCCGAGCCGGGGCUUCUCCUGACCCAUCCUCACCCCGAUCCCCCGGGGCUGCCCCCCGAUGCCCCAGGGUUUCUCCCGACCCACCCUCACACCAGCCCCCGGGGUCCGUCCCGGCCCACCCUCACACCGACCCUCAGGGCAUCUCCCUUCCCUUCCCAACAGCCGCGCGGCGGUGCCGGCGCGAUGCUCCCUCAGCGCCUCGGGCGUCCCGCCGGAGUGAGGACUAAGGCAGGGAACACCCAGGACCUGCCUGGUGGCACUGGGAGCCGGGAGCUGCCUGCCUGGCACCUGCUGUAAUUUGACUGGCCGUGCCAAAGUGCAACGCUUCUCCUUCUCCUUGGCAGCCCCAGAACCCCAAAGGCACUGGCUUCUGGCUGGGUCAGAUGGUUGCUCUUGGCCCAUCACCCACCGGCUUAACCUAGCACCAUGUGGGCUUUGCUCCCUGCAGUCAUGCCCAAAGAUAGGUGAGGGGGUUUAUGACCAGUUACCAGCUACGAAAGUAAUCCAAAACUGUUCUGCCCUGUUCAAUUUCUAAAUAGAAAUCGUGCUCCUUCCCCAAGAGUUGACAUUGUGAGUUGGAAGCUAUUCAAUAACUGAGAGGUGAAGGGUCCAACAUGCAAGAGAUUCAUCAACACCUUUUUUUUCUUUACUCUCACUCCUAGUCAGUCCAUUAGCAUUAUAUGAGGGAGGUGAAGUUAAUGUUAGUGCUAUUAUACUUUUCCUAAAUUACAGUAAUCCUUUGAGGUGGAAAUAGCUGCAGUGGGGCUGGCUCUGGCACUUUUAUCCAGAGCAUUGCAUUGUUCACAUUUUCCCAGAGAGCUCAGCUCUGGGAAGCACAAGAUUAUAGGACAAUCUCUAAUACAAAGCUGAACAAAAGACCCCCGAAGCCUCAAAACCAGAGGCAGAUUAAAACAAUUUCAUAUACAUUACAAUUUAAAACCUCAUUAUUUUCACUUAACCUCAUUCAUUUUUAAUACAUGGGAAUUGCCAAAACUGGGUUAAGUUUCCAAAGGGAUAAUAGGCAUGGCUUGCUGAGACACCUGGGUUACUACUGGCACACACGGCCACAGGCUGCAGCCAUGGGGAUCCCUUGGUGAAGAAUGGUCGGUCUACAGUGGGACUGAGGAAACACUGAACAGCCCAUUGAACAGUCAGUUUUGAGACCAUUGGCCAAAUUCAACCAUAUGUGAUGGAGAGGAAUAAGCUCAAAGAUACUGGAUUCCAGCAAGUUUCAUGAAAACAGACAGCCACAAUGGAGAGACUUUUAUUUAUAAGGUAUGGCUGAAGUGGGAGUUCAGCUUUUAUUGGCAAAUUUAUGAAGCAGUCAGUGCAAAUCAUGAAAAAAAAUCUUUGACCAAGGACAGUACUUUCUUGAAUUAGUUUUAUUGUUCAUGAAAUAUUAUUGUUUCCUUUCCUUAUGCCCAAAUUCCUGCUUUUAUAUGAAUCUGUACCUUUGCAUUAGCUUUAAAUACAGGUUCAAAAAUCAUUUCCCCAAAACACCAUUAUUUUCUGAACUACAUUCUCCCCUUCAAAAACAGGUUUUUGUUAGACCAUGUAAUGCUGUUUUAUGUAACACAAAGGCCCUGGGUUUUUUUCCAUCAGCUUGUAGGACUUCAGGAUGCUGAAGAUAAAAGUCACUCUCAUUUUUAUUCACUCCUGGCUUUCUCAGUCUGGAGUUGCUUAUGGAACAGGUUUUAAUGGAUAUUCUCUGCAUUCCUUGCUUCUUAAUGACAUAUACAACCUGAAUGUAACAGACUGGCUUUUCUGGAACUUCAGUCUUAACUAGAAUGUUCAAGAUACAAACACAACACAAAGAUAUUUCCCAGAAUGGUUGGAAACUCACACAUUUACUACCUUUUAGAUUAUUGACAACAAGCAAGAUGGCUGAGCUGGAAUAUAAUGUAGGCAAGCCCAAGCUUACACACUGAAAGUCCUCAUAAUGAAAUGUCUACCUAAAAAAAAAAAAAAAUCUGCUAGUGCUCAGUGCCUACAAGGCAGAAGCAAUACAUAAGCACUUUGCAACCCUGUCACUAGAAUGAAUUUCGAUGACACAAGAUGAAGGCAGCCGUGCCCCUUUAUGCCAGAGCUUUCAGUGUAACUGAUGCUGCUUGUGUGAGGGAUGUUGAAAAAAGGGAGAAAACCUGUGCAGAGGCCUUAACAAGCACCAGAGGGAAUUUACAAUGCUGUCUUUUUAGACUAUAAUUAAUCUUUUCAGAAUGAUCUUCCUGAAUUAAAAGAGUAUUUGGUACUUUCUACUUUUCUAAAGGCCCGAGGGAUGCCCUGAAACAUAAAAAAUUACACCAUACUUUUGGCAAACUGUGCUGUUCCAGAUAUGUAGUGUAUCUUAAGCAAACACAAAAAAUGAAAGGGGAAGCAUACAAAGUGAUAGCUAAACCAAUUAUUUAGGAUCUUGUUGUCAUGUUUCUUUGCAGAUUUUUGGUCCUUAUAAUGGAAAAAAUGUGAUCUAAUUAAGUUCUAAUUUAAAAAAGAAUAUAUGAAGGUUGUUAUGGAGUAGUUUUAGUUUCUUCCUUCUUUCUAUACCAAGCCAUACUGCAUCCAGGAAGCAAAGGGAUGAUUUCUACCCACAUUGCCAGAAUUUUCCCUCUUUCAUCUUAGCUCUCCACAAGUCAUUUGCUCCAAUUCAACCAGAGUCUAGUGCUUAAAAUUCUGGAUGGAGUAAGGCUCGAGCUACAGCACACCAAAAGUGAGUCAUCUUUGUGUGUUUCUACUCAUUUACGAAGACCGAAACAUGUUAAUAAUAAGCAGCUCUUCUUUGUUUCUUUGGUCAUACUGGGAGAGGCAAACUAAAGAAUGGAAAUAAACAAGUUUGGUGUUAAGAAAUAAGCACUUUCAUGGGCCCCAAAGAUCUUUAAGUAUGUGCAUAUUUCUCUUCUAGCUCAGAAUGUGACUGAGACAGCACAUGAUGUGUUGCCUGAUGAAAGAACUAUGUUCAGUUAAUGCAUGUUGCCAAGUCUGUGUCUGCAAACAGGAGCUUGAUUUGCUAUAUCUGGGCUGUGACUGGUCUUAGUCCUUCACAAAGGCGGCAAAAUAGCAGAAUACAUAAUAGAAUACAGGGAACUUGAGGUUUUUGAUCAGUUAUUCUAGAACAAGGGUAGUCAAAUCUAGGCCACAGGAUUAAAACACAGCUUGAAUCCACUCUCAUUUGUGAUAUAAACAUUUUGGAAUGUUCUGUCCUUUCCCAGUCCACCCACUCAUGUCAAAAAUUGAUGUAGUUGGGUGUGCUGGUGAUGCCAAGGUCAUGGUCAGCUGUGGGCAUGGUCUCUGGUUAGGCAAGGCUUUCUGAUGCCCUGCCUAACCAGAGACCUGUGUGUUAGACCUUUUCACUAGCGUGCUGCCUCCUCAGCUGCUGGGUUACAAAACAAGGCAGCAUCUAUUACACUGCUGAACUCAGAUAUCACUUCCUCUGUCAUCUCCAUUCAUAGUUACAUAUGACAUGCAGAAUUAUUUUCAGCUCUACUUGGCUUGCCUGUAAUCUAACUUUGCAGCUCCCCUCUGGACUCUGUAAAUACAGCAGCAGGAAGAAGCCACCUUUUGUCCCUUUGGGCCAGGAGGACAUGCCAAACAUCAAUGUAGAUGUGUUCCUGAAGACCAAAAAGACCAAACUGCUUUCUGAAUCAGCUUCAUAACCCUGACACUUGAGACACGUGGGGAAGCAGAGACAUUCCCUGGAGAUCUACUGGGGUCAUUAACACAGCCAGGCUGAUUCAGCAGUACAUCUACACGUGCCCAACAGCGAAGAUACAAGCUUGAUGGUUUUAAUGUGGUGCUCAACAUAAAUACACACCUAUUUCCUAAAUAAGUACGUGCCUAAUUUAAGGCUCCAGUGUCUUACUGUUCAGUGCACCCAGACCCCACUGCUCUGUCAUUGGAAACCAGCAAUGUGGGGCUGUCCCCCAGAAGAGUUGCUGUGGUUGUGCUCUUCACCCUACCUCACUUGGGCACAGGUGAAGCCCUCAGGCUCCUGGCAGGCUGCCACUGUAAACCCAGCACAGCUGGCUUGAGUGGAGAGUAAGGCCUCAAUAUUGCAUUUCAAACAUUGAUUAGUAAAGCAGGUGAUUGAAAAAAAAAAGGUGUUUGUUUAGAUUAUGGAGAUUGUGGAAAAGAAAACAGUUCCAUAAAUCUGAAGCUGGAAAUGCUACAGCAGUCGGGUACAUGGGAUUCCUCUGAAUGAGCUUCCCUUCCUCCACCUUUGGCUGCAAGGAUGAAAGUCUUUCUCAGAGAAGUGCUCGACAAGCAUCUGAAAUCCAGCUCAACAGAAAGCCAUUCAAAGGGGUCAAGAGCAAGGAUUCAUGCAGUAAAAUAAAUACCUGGAGAUGGAAAAAUCUUUCUCCGUUUUUCCUCCCACGUGUUUUGGAAUUAUUGUGCCAGGAAAUUAUUAAAUCACACAAGUUUCAGUAAUGAAUGUAUUGCUUGGAUGGCAUGGAAAAUUGCUGAGGGAUAUGGCUAAGGAAAAUAACUUUCCAAAGUUGGUGAUGAAAGAUCAGAUAGAUGAGCAGGACUACAACUUAUAUGGACUUUUGAAAAUAGUACUGCUAUGGGAGGAUAUUCUUCAAAUUAAUCCAAGUGAGCAUUAAGAGGAGGCAUGUGCAUAAGAAGCAGAGGGAUCUUUGUUCAAUAUUUUCUGGUGUCAUUCAGUGCAAAGGUUCCCAGUGAUAUUUCGGUUUAACUGGGAAGACUGACACCUAAUUAGAAGAAGGACAAAUCAGAGCUGCUAAAGCACUUCUGUAUCUAGAAGGCCGUUUUUAACUUUUGAGACAAAGGCUACAAUUUGCAAAAUGCCAAAAAUGCCAUUUCAGGGCAUGCCAGAGUUGUUCUGUGUCUCAAUAAGGUUGGUGCCUUCAUAAGAGGCCCCUCACAAGCUUGUUUUCUCACCUGCACUUUGCUGAAUGUUGCAAUUCAGUUUUAGGUCAUUGAGGAAAAAUUAACCCAUCACUGAAUUAUUGCAACUAUGUCAUUUAGGAAAAAACACCUUUAUCUCCAUAUGGUGAUACAGUAUGUACUGAUGAAUAUUUUCUACCUGUCUUAGUCACACCUGCACAGGGAGCAUGAGGAGAAGAGGUGGCAGUGGCAGUUUGGCUGCAGCAAAGUGGGCUCUGCAUUGUCACUGACUGUGCCUGCCUUGCAUUCUGAGCACGUACAGGGAGGAUCCCAAAGGCACCCACAAACCCUGCUAGCUCCUAUCCAUGCUGUGUGACUGUGUGGAGCUUUGGGAACAAAAUUAAAUGCCAGAAAUGUCAGCAGCCUGUAACAACAAUGUACAACAAAGCAGAUAAAAUGACUCACAGGUCUUCUCUGCAGUGCUGUUAGCAGCCUAUAUAUUUUCAGGGCAGAAAAUAAUCUGGAAUUGUCUGAGUCUCCAUCAAUAUCCUGCCUUCUGAGGGUUCUUAGCUUCCCCUAAAAGUAAAAUUAUAAGUAGUAAGUCUUUGGGCAUUCAGUCCUGGUCAUCCUACCUGCAUUAUUCUAGGAGAAAAAAUACAAGCUGAUGUAGUUCCUCUAAAGCUUUCUCCGUGAGCAGGUGGAUGCAAUCGGGUUUCAACCUUUACUUUAUUACAUUACCUAUUUAUACCAAACUGCUGGAUAUUUUGGCUGCCUCUUUGCCCAGUCUUCACUCAAAGAGGGAAGGAACAUCCUUUCAUCAUCAUCCAAGAGGAUCAGUGGGCUGAGGUGUAAACAGGUUGGCCAACCCAGGCACAAGGAAAUGGUGAAAAUAGAACCAUAAAGUUAAGACUUUGAAGACCUGAGGUUGGAAGCACUGGCUUGCAGUAACCCAGCCCUGGAUCCAUGUAACUUACCCUGGGUCUUAUUGGGAGCCAAGAGCAGACUGCACCACCACCCUUUGCAGUUGCUUCACACAAGGCAAUCCCUGCAGGAAUUUUUCUUCAAAGGCACCCACUCAACAAACAUUACAUACAAACAAAGAGCACAGAAGCUCUAAGAGAAAUUUGGGGCUCAAAUUGUAGGGCAAUCAGGUCAGAUUUUAAUACCUACAUAAUUCAAACUCAAUUAGAACUGGCAAAAAUCAAUACACCAGUGAGGGCAUACUGAAGAAAAACUCCUCCCUAAGCUGUCUUCCCCAUAGGUGGAGACUGAGUGAAUUUAAAGGAUGAAAGAGCAAGGAAGAAAUUGGAAGUCAGGAAUAAAGAAACCAGACUACCCAGUUUACAAAAUAUAUAACGUCAGUAAGAAAUUUUGUGAAGUAAAAUCAAAGGAAGGCAAACUGUAAUUCUUCCCAACUGCCCUAACAUGUGAGAUUUGAAAUUAUAACCUCUUUUGGGCAGUGGCUCCCGCUCUAGGGCUGUCAGCACCUGACAUACCCAUUCCUAACUUUCUUCUUUCUACACUGGAGGGUUAAUGCCCACAUCUAUGGUGGCACAUGUGCAUGGCCUUGGUGGCACACUCCAUACUCUUGUUGCCCUCACUGACCCUGGCAGGCUGUGAGACACCCCAGGGCUGGCCAAAGGUUGGUUCAAGUGACAAAUUCAGCAGCUCUUCAGAGUGCUGGCCUGGAGUAGAGCUCAGUGCUGGCCAGUGGCUGCUGUCAUUAACAGAGAGCAGAUUUACAGUUAAAGUGCAGGAAAAAGGAGUCAUCUUGCACGGAGAUGCCAAGGAGGCCCACUGUUUUCAACAAAAUAGCCACAGCUAGAGCUGGAAGCCCAUUUUCUAGAAGGUUCUGCCUUGCCAAUAGCAAAAUCACAGUUCAUCUAGGCUUUUUAUAGUGGAGGCAGGGCUGCACAGUCACUGUAUUUAGUAAACUGUGCCAGGCAUUCAGGGAUCUUCCUGAUUUGGCAGCCUGUUUAUUCUGGGGCACCUCCCUGCUUGCUUUCAACUAAACCCUACCAAUCCCUUCAGUUCUAGCCCCAGUGGGGUUGUGCUUCCUAUUUUCCCAGUUUGGGAAUUGGCAAUAAAUUUAUUUGGAAGCAAACAAACCAACCAACCUACCAAAAUGAAACGAAAAUUGUAGAACUCCCUCUUAAAGCCAAACCUCUUUCCAAAAGCAGGGAGAGCAGCAGGCAGAACUAUGGGGUCCUUCAUUCCAACAGCCCCAGCUCUGCCUGGUGUCAUGUACUUGGAUGAGCAUCCUUUACCUCCCCUUCCUCACCCAUUCCCCAGGAGAGCAGGGACUGCACUGUAAGCCAGGCGUCCUUGAGAGAACACAAAGGGUUGAAAUGCCUGACCAGCCAUAAACAAACCGCUGUGAGAAAUAUCCUUAAGACUCAAACUGAUUCACAUGCCAGAGAGCAAGCAAACUAUUAAUAUUCCUAGCAGAGAUCCAGAAUCCACUGCACUGCUCCAUUCUCUGUCAUCUCCUACUGUGCUCUUUGUAAUAUUUUGAUUUCCCUAUAUGCAACAAUUAAGUGCAGAGAUGGAAGCACUCUCAAUUCCCAUUUGUUGAAGAACUCUCAGCAAAAAGGCAGCAAACCAAAGUAAUCUGAAUU
Non-coding RNA from Taeniopygia guttata (zebra finch), 7660 nucleotides. The record is from RefSeq and is a predicted model, not a curated record. Lineage: Eukaryota; Metazoa; Chordata; Aves; Passeriformes; Estrildidae.